Molecule: unclassified non-coding RNA, 288 nt
Organism: Vulpes vulpes (red fox)
Lineage: Eukaryota; Metazoa; Chordata; Mammalia; Carnivora; Canidae
Gene: 7SK
Rfam family: 7SK RNA
About the family: 7SK was discovered as an abundant small nuclear RNA in the mid-70s but a possible function has only recently been suggested.
Source: Ensembl
GGCUGAGGAAUAUUCCAUUGUAGACAUAGACCACAUCUUCUUUGACUAGGUAGGAGUCCCCUUCCUCCCUCGCCACUCCAUGUGUGUCCCUCCCAAAGCUGCGUGCUUGGUCAAAGAGAAUGACCAUCCCCAAUAGAGGAGGACCGUUCUUUGGUCAAGGGUAUACGAGUAGCUGUGCUCCCCUGCUAGAACCUCCAAACAAGCUCUCAAGGACUCCGAUAUUUUAAACAAUUAUUUAGUUGUGUAUCGGCAGAAAUUAAAUAUUCAAAGGUAAUGAGCUUAAUCAUU